AAAGGCGGCAAGAUUCUGCACGUAUAAGUUUUUAACCAAUAUAGCCAUUUUGAAUCAUGAAUCAAUCCAUGGAUACCCGGAAAGGAAACAAGCUUCCCUCAAAACUUGUGAGUGAUAGCAUUUCAAUGGAUUCACUCUCUUUUAGUGGCCUUGUUUCUAUUCAAGACCAACAACCAAAGUUUCCUUCACCUCCUAACCAUGCUAAACACUACCAGGUAAACAAACAUGACCCGGAAUUCGAAUUUACAAACAGUAAAGCAAACUUGAAUUCUGUUGUCAAUCUAAUCAAGCUUACACCUGCUGAUCAACUUAUUUCCAAUGGUCAACUUCAACCACAGGCAUUUGCAUUUCAAACAACUCCGUCGUUGAUCCCAAAUCCACCCGGUUCCUCAAGACCAUUACUAGCAAAUCAUAUCAAUAGUGAAAUGUCAAGUAGGAAAACAGGAAGCACCAUGAAAUAUCAUGAACUUGGAAAAGCAAGCAAACAUACAAACAAGCAAAGCACCACGGCAAGGACAGGGUUUGGGCAGAAAAUGAAGUCUUUUCUAUCACCAUGCAAAGAAUGCCGAACCAUUAAGCCAGAUGCUGUUAAAGCACAAACUGUUCAAAGAGAAAGCUUCAAAUUAUAUUGAUACAAGACUUAUCCUCUAUGCAAUUGUUUCUUGCAAGACCAGAAAAUGUCAUAAGGAAUCUUCUCUUUCUAGUUAAAGUGGCGUCUGAAAAGAGUACAAGUGGCACGCUUCAUUUCAGCAUCAGUUACUGCAGUAUUAGACCCACAAACGUCAAAAAUCUGAAUGAUUCGUGAUAACCUAUUGAAAUCCUGAGCACACAAAGUCAUAAGCUUAAAUCAGGGAGAGGGUGAUAGGAAUUCCUAUUAGUUUCAGUUUCUGUAUAACAGUGAACCGAAGGAAAUACAAGGAAAAGGGUCAAGCCCCUAAGCCAGAGAGAACUCUCUAAGCUCCAACUAACAUCAAGGCUAAACCACUGCCAACCAUCACCUUGACUACAGAAUCCAUCAUGGUCUCACCUUUCAAAUGCCAUAUCAUGGUGAAGAAUGCCUGUCAUACAGUACACCACCUCAAAAAGUGUUUUAUUUGUGGCUGAGUGAGAGAUGAUGUGGUUUACCAAAAUUCAUUUCAUGACAGCCAGAGUGAGAGACCAUUGCUUAGGCCACAUCUGGCAGUAAUUCUUAACUGGGUUCUUAAAGCUAAACAUCUUAACUAGGUUCAACAUUGAAGGAGGAUGACAUGGAUACCAUGCAUAAGAACUGAUCUUAUGACUUAUAGAAGAAAUGGUUCUCUUUUUCACUAUUUUCAUCUCAAAUUUGUCUCGUGAUAAAUUUCAAAAAUUAUGUAAGAGACAAUAAUGAUAUUUCUUUUUGUGCCCUAACUGUGCUAUGAACAGCAAAACUGUUUUGCAUAGGGACAGUAUGAAACUUAUUUUAGAAAUUUACAAA
Molecule: non-coding RNA, 1456 nt
Organism: Cicer arietinum (chickpea)
Lineage: Eukaryota; Viridiplantae; Streptophyta; Magnoliopsida; Fabales; Fabaceae
Source: RefSeq, a predicted model, not a curated record